AUUGAACGCUGGCGGCAGGCCUAACACAUGCAAGUCGAGCGAGCGGCGGACGGGUGAGUAAUGUAUGGGGACUGCCCGAUAGAGGGGGAUAACUACUGGAAACGGUAGCUAAUACCGCAUACUAUCGGAUAACCCAUAUGGGAUUAGCUAGUAGGUGAGGUAAUGGCUAACAUAGGCGACGAUCCCUAGCUGGUCUGAGAGGAUGAUCAGCAACACUGGUACUGAGACACGGACCAGAAGACUACGGAGGGAGCAGUGGGGAAGAUGGGAAAAGGGGCGAAAGCCUGAUGCAGCCAUGCCGCGUGUAGGAAGAAGGCACUAGGGUUGUAAAGUACUUUCAGUCGGGAGGCGUUACCGACAGAAGAAGCACCGGCUAACUCCGUGCCAGCAGCCGCGGUAAUAC
RNAcentral lists this ribosomal RNA (403 nucleotides) under uncultured bacterium. RNAcentral describes it as "partial 16S ribosomal RNA". It matches the Rfam family "Bacterial small subunit ribosomal RNA", at positions 29 to 526 of the family's 1533-position model. The record is from RNAcentral.